This is a long non-coding RNA of Gasterosteus aculeatus aculeatus (three-spined stickleback), 688 nucleotides long. NCBI's taxonomy places the organism in Eukaryota, Metazoa, Chordata, Actinopteri, Perciformes, Gasterosteidae. The record is from Ensembl.
CGGCACUGGCAAUACUGCGACUGUGGGGAGAAAAGGAAGCAGGCGUCUUCGUGAGGGAGUCGCCGGUGAAGCGUUUGGUCGACCGAAGCAAACCAGCAUGUCUAAAAAGGGUUGAAAGGAGCAGAAAAAAAUGAUGGGAAGGUUCGCCGACGUGACAAGUGUCUGAGUGCUCGUUUCAGACGAACACCGAGUAUCUUCUUUUCAAGUGCUCCUGGUAGCUGCCUGAUCCUCCGCUGCUCUUCUCCUUGGAGAGAAGCUGACAUGCAGGCUGUCAAACCUUCAGUAGAUUUUUCACCAGAGAUUCCGUUCUGCUCGGAUCAAAGUCUUGCAGAAACUGCCGACUCCAUCCAAAAGAAAAAGGUCACAAGCUGUUUAGAUGGACUCAAAACAGAGUAUUGUGUCUCAGGUCGUUCACAUGUUUUACAUUUGUCGCUUGCUUCUGGGUAAAUUUAAGGAUGAGAAGAUCUAAUAAUAUACCCCACUGUCAAAAGUGAGAUACAAAAAAGGAUAGUUUUAAUAACUAUUAACUGCUGACGUGAAAUAAUUGAAAAAAGUAAUUGUGUGAGGGAGAUUAAAAGCAUUCUCAGCAUUAAAGAGUAAAUAUUAUAGAGGGAAUUACAACCUGUAAAGCGUCAUGUAAGCAGUUUAAAGCCACUAGCCGACAAUCAAAGCAACUUUUAGGUAAGAA